GGACCCGCACAAGUAGUGGAGCAUGUGGUUUAAUUCGAAGAUACGCGCAGAACCUUACCAACACUUGACAUGUUCGUCGCGACUUUGAGAGAUCAAAGUUUUCGGUUCGGCCGGACGAAACACAGGUGCUGCAUGGCUGUCGUCAGCUCGUGUCGUGAGAUGUUGGGUUAAGUCCCGCAACGAGCGCAACCCUCACUUUUAGUUGCCAUCAUUAAGUUGGGCACUCUGAAAGAACUGCCAGUGAUAAGCUGGAGGAAGGUGGGGAUGACGUCAAGUCCUCAUGGCCCUUACGUGUUGGGCUACACACGUGCUACAAUGGUAUCUACAACAGGAAGCAAAGAGGCGACUCUUAGCUAAUCCCUAAAAUGUACCUCAGUUCGGAUUGUACUCUGUAACUCGAGUGCAUGAAGCUGGAAUUGCUAGUAAUCG
This 429-nucleotide ribosomal RNA is filed under the name uncultured bacterium. RNAcentral's name for it is "bacterial SSU rRNA". It matches the Rfam family "Bacterial small subunit ribosomal RNA", at positions 917 to 1344 of the family's 1533-position model. The record is from RNAcentral.